This is a long non-coding RNA of Mercenaria mercenaria, 2015 nucleotides long. RefSeq lists it as uncharacterized. Lineage: Eukaryota; Metazoa; Mollusca; Bivalvia; Venerida; Veneridae. The transcript is spliced from 8 exons. The record is from RefSeq and is a predicted model, not a curated record.
AACACCGCCCGUUCGGUCGAAUUGUUAUUCUAGUGUAGCAGUUAACGGCUAGUGAAAGUGUAGUUUAUUCUAAAGCUAACCAAAGUGCGAAUCACGUGACAUAUGUUGGGCGUGAACUCGUGUUCAUUCAGUAGGCAGUCAGUAAAGCACAAGGAAGGACGCAAAGCAAAGCAGCGAAGAAGGACACAAUGCCGGGAAGAAAGUCUGACAAGUCUAUGAUUGGUGAUCUGCACCUUCGUAACCCAAGUUUGUUCUGAUGUCUGCCAUCAUUCCAGCUGACUCUCACAGUGGUGGACUUUAUAACAGUACUCAGAAUGGGAACAAGAACAAUUACCUCAGUGAAAGCCAAGACAUUUUCAUUGUUCAACUAACCAAUGCUAAUUGUGUGACGAUUGUUGAGAGUGCAUGUUCAUUCAGCAGACAGUUGGUAAAAGACAAAAAAACGAACACAAAGCAAGGAAGGAAGGCUUGAGAGCAGAGACUUUCAUUAUUUCCAUGCAUGGAAACUGAAAUGAUGACGGUCCUUGUUUAGAGAUCCAGACACUUUGUUCCCAAGGUGAUGUGAAAUGAUGCGAAGUGUUGUGUAUGUCUUCUGCCUUCACUCUACUAGACCACUACUGCCUGGAUCUUCAGUAUCUUCAGUUAGUACUGGAACUGUGAUGACACUGAGGAAAUAUUCUACAAUCUUCAACAUGGUUACGGUUGAAUUGUGAUUUCCACAUAGCAAUUGCUGUACAGUGUAAUGCUAGCAUGUAUGUUUUUCUAAGCAAGCGACAAGGUGUGUCAAUGCGGAAGCUGUGCAUCUGGACAGGAUGAGAGUGGUUGUAUUCCAAUGGCUGUAAGCAUGAAAUCACCUGGCCUUGUGUGGAAGACAUCUAUGAACGGAUCAACCAGAUGUAUACCUCCAAUUUAAACUCCUGAAAAUCCCCAUGGUUGUGGGUGGUGCAGACAGAAUGUGAGCCAGGAAGUACAUCUGUAAAAGCCCAGACAUUCCAUAUGUAGGAGUAUCUUCAUUCUUCAAUUGCAUCUUAGCUAAGAAGUUAACUUGGAUCUGCUACAGAGAGUCAUUGAUGUUCAAGUUGGUAGGAUACAGUUUCCCGAUCAAAUGAAAUCGCUUUAUCUUAUCUGGCUGGAAUUUAAAGAGCUGAGACUACCAUCAGGAAAAUCUACCGUAUAAUAACACUAACCCAGAACACUGCUGCUGAGUCUACCACACAGUAACACUGACCCAGAACAUUGCUACUGAGUCUACCACACAGUAAUGCUGACUAGGAAAUUGCUAUUGAGUCUACCACACAGUAACACAAACCCAGAGCAUUGCUACUAUGUCAUCUAUGCAGUAACUGUGAUUCAGAACAUUGCUACUGAGUCUACCACACAGUAACACUGACCCAGAAUCUUGCUACUGAGUCUACCACACAGCAAUGUGGACUAGGACAUUGCUAUUAAGAGUUUCCAUGCAGUUACACUGACCCGAGUAGUCCACACAGGAAAAACACACAGUAAUGUUGACUUAGGAUGUUGCUGCCGAGUCUUCCAUACUAUUAUAAUGACACCAAAGUGUAGCUUUUCUAUGGAAAAUUCAGACAGAUAACUUCAGUUACCUGUCAAUAGGCGCAAUAAACUCUUUAUUAUCUGUUUAUGUUAACACUCCUGAUACUGAAGGCUGGACUCUGCUGAACACUGGAAAAAAAGUGGAGAUAAACAUGCAACUCACUGUGUGUGACAUUAGUGCAAAAAAAUUUCAGAUGUGACUGUGAGAUAUAGACAAAAUUAUUUUAAGUAACAUUCAAGUAAUUGUGUUCAAAGGUGGUAGUGAAAAUCCCUGAAUGUAACAUCAAAGUUCAGAUGACUGUGAAAGAAAGACAGUUAUACUUACUAGUAAAAAUCUACAAAAUUAGAUAUUAAAAUAAUGUUUAAAAGUGACAGUAGGUACAGUAAAAUGUGAAUAAUAUGUGUUUUGAUUGAUAAUGUCAAAUAAUAAAGUGUAACUAAUUGUACCAGUGUAUUUAUAU